CUACGGGGUGCUCCAGUGAGGAAUAUUGCACAAUGGGGGAACCCUGAUGCAGCAACGCCGCGUGGAGGAUGACGCAUUUCGGUGUGUAAACUCCUUUUAUAUGUCAAGAAAAUGACGGUAGCAUAUGAAUAAGCACCGGCUAACUCCGUGCCAGCAGCCGCGGUAAUACGGAGGGUGCAAGCGUUACUCGGAAUCACUGGGCGUAAAGAACGCGUAGGCGGGUUGGAAAGUCAGGUGUGAAAUCCUACAGCUUAACUGUAGAACUGCACUUGAAACUUCUAAUCUAGAGUAUGGGAGGGGGAGAUGGAAUUAGUGGUGUAGGGGUAAAAUCCGUAGAUAUCACUAGGAAUACCUAAAGCGAAGGCGAUCUCCUGGAACAUUACUGACGCUAAGGCGUGAAAGCGUGGGGAGCAAACAGGAUUAGAUACCCCCGUAGUC
This 438-nucleotide ribosomal RNA is filed under the name uncultured bacterium. RNAcentral's name for it is "partial 16S ribosomal RNA". It matches the Rfam family "Bacterial small subunit ribosomal RNA", at positions 339 to 795 of the family's 1533-position model. The record is from RNAcentral.